CCUACGGGAGGCAGCAGUGGGGAAUUUUGGACAAUGGGCGCAAGCCUGAUCCAGCAAUGCCGCGUGAGUGAAGAAGGCCUUCGGGUUGUAAAGCUCUUUUGUCAGGGAAGAAACGGUGGGGGCUAAUAUCUCCCACUAAUGACGGUACCUGAAGAAUAAGCACCGGCUAACUACGUGCCAGCAGCCGCGGUAAUACGUAGGGUGCAAGCGUUAAUCGGAAUUACUGGGCGUAAAGCGUGCGCAGGCGGUUUUGUAAGUUUGUCGUGAAAUCCCCGGGCUCAACCUGGGAAUGGCGAUGAAGACUGCAAGGCUAGAAUCUGGCAGAGGGGGGUAGAAUUCCACGUGUAGCAGUGAAAUGCGUAGAGAUGUGGAGGAACACCGAUGGCGAAGGCAGCCCCCUGGGUCAAGAUUGACGCUCAUGCACGAAAGCGUGGGGAGCAAACAGGAUUAGAUACCCUGGUAGUCCACGCCCUAAACGAUGUCUACUAGUUGUCGGGUUUUAAUUAACUUGGUAACGCAGCUAACGCGUGAAGUAGACCGCCUGGGGAGUACGGUCGCAAGNUUAAACUUAAUUGAAUUGACGGNNGNGNGNGCGAGCGACGACGAGGAGAGG
RNAcentral lists this ribosomal RNA (613 nucleotides) under uncultured bacterium. RNAcentral describes it as "bacterial SSU rRNA". It matches the Rfam family "Bacterial small subunit ribosomal RNA", at positions 338 to 945 of the family's 1533-position model. The record is from RNAcentral.